GCUUGCUCCCUGAUGUUAGCGGCGGACGGGUGAGUAACACGUGGGUAACCUGCCUGUAAGACUGGGAUAACUCCGGGAAACCGGGGCUAAUACCGGAUGGUUGUCUGAACCGCAUGGUUCAGACAUAAAAGGUGGCUUCGGCUACCACUUACAGAUGGACCCGCGGCGCAUUAGCUAGUUGGUGAGGUAACGGCUCACCAAGGCGACGAUGCGUAGCCGACCUGAGAGGGUGAUCGGCCACACUGGGACUGAGACACGGCCCAGACUCCUACGGGAGGCAGCAGUAGGGAAUCUUCCGCAAUGGACGAAAGUCUGACGGAGCAACGCCGCGUGAGUGAUGAAGGUUUUCGGAUCGUAAAGCUCUGUUGUUAGGGAAGAACAAGUGCCGUUCAAAUAGGGCGGCACCUUGACGGUACCUAACCAGAAAGCCACGGCUAACUACGUGCCAGCAGCCGCGGUAAUACGUAGGUGGCAAGCGUUGUCCGGAAUUAUUGGGCGUAAAGGGCUCGCAGGCGGUUUCUUAAGUCUGAUGUGAAAGCCCCCGGCUCAACCGGGGAGGGUCAUUGGAAACUGGGGAACUUGAGUGCAGAAGAGGAGAGUGGAAUUCCACGUGUAGCGGUGAAAUGCGUAGAGAUGUGGAGGAACACCAGUGGCGAAGGCGACUCUCUGGUCUGUAACUGACGCUGAGGAGCGAAAGCGUGGGGAGCGAACAGGAUUAGAUACCCUGCUAGUCCACGCCGUAAACGAUGAGUGCUAAGUGUUAGGGGGUUUCCGCCCCUUAGUGCUGCAGCUAAACGCAUUAAGCACUCCGCCUGGGG
This 818-nucleotide ribosomal RNA is filed under the name Bacillus subtilis subsp. subtilis. RNAcentral describes it as "bacterial SSU rRNA". It matches the Rfam family "Bacterial small subunit ribosomal RNA", at positions 78 to 878 of the family's 1533-position model. Lineage: Bacteria; Bacillati; Bacillota; Bacilli; Caryophanales; Bacillaceae. The record is from RNAcentral.